Vigna umbellata (rice bean) is the source of this 1235-nucleotide long non-coding RNA. RefSeq lists it as uncharacterized. NCBI's taxonomy places the organism in Eukaryota, Viridiplantae, Streptophyta, Magnoliopsida, Fabales, Fabaceae. The record is from RefSeq and is a predicted model, not a curated record.
UGCCAUUCAGAAAUCUGGCACGCACCUAAGGUUCCCUUCGAAAAAAUCCAGAGAGGUUUGUCUCCUCUGCACACGCCCCGCCGUCUCCGCCGAACCGGCCACCGCAUGUCGCCGCCGCCGCUCACAAAGCCAGCCGCCCACUGUUGAGACCGUAGCCGGUCACGGAAUAACGUUCCCCUCUUCCUCUUCUUCUCGCGCGCAAGAGAGAUCGUCUUCUCCUUCGUGAAUCGCCUCUUGGGCGAGCUCGACCACCGCGCCGGCCUGGGCUCCACUAGCGUCACCGGUCGUCGCCAGAGAUGCCUCCGGUCACCACGUCAACAUCCUCCUUCCCUCUUCUGUUGCAAACAGAGGAACCCUCUCCCUCUUCUUCAAAUUCGAGGUUGCCAUCACCAACGAGGAUGGACGUCGCCGCUGCUGCUUACAAGCUAGUCGCCGCGAGCUCAUGCCGGAAGGAACAGUGCCCUUCACGGCGGUUCCAGCCCUCUGGAAUCGCACCGAGCUUACGAAAUCGACACAAGCACUAAGACAUUAAAUCUGGUUCUGGCUGUUAUAGGUGAAGAAUGACAUUGAAAUUUGAUAAAGAGCAGGUUGAGGAGAUGAACUCCGUUGGAGAGUGGAAGAAAGCCGUGAGUGUCGAGAUAUGGAUACGGCUAUGAGCGAAUCCAGAUGGGUGGUAGCAGGAACUUGGUGCUUGGUACUGAGGUCAUGGGACUUGAAAAGGUUGAACUACUGAUGCAGUCCGAAAUGUCAAUUUGUCACCCUUGUUUGAAUGUGUUGGAUAUAACAGAGGAUAAAAUGGUUUAUUUCAGAGGACAAGCUUUGAGUGUAUUGGCCUGAGAUCUGUGGUUUAAUCUGUUUGAUACAGGUGAAGGAUGAUCUUGAGAUGGAAAAAUUAUUUCUGCCUUCUGUUUUGCUGUAUGAAAAUGCGUCUGUUAUUCCAGUUUGCUUUUAUUUGCAUGUUUUCUGGGUGCUAAAGUGGUAUGAAGUGUUGAUGUUAGGGAAGUGUAUGCCUAUCUUCUAUUGUUAGUUAGAUAGAUGAAAUUUGCAGACAGAAACUGCAUUUUGGGUGCAGUUUUGAUUAACAGAGGAAGACAAACAAACGUAACCAUAUACAUUGAUUGAAACAUCAUUCAUCAUUCAUUCAUCUCCCAGCAUGCACAAGGAAAACAUAUAUAUGAGCAUAUAGACGAGCAUGACCAAAGAGCUUGGAUAUACGAAGACUUACCUUUGCAGCU